CUGGCGUGUACUGAACGCUUAACAAACCGCCUUCUUCCCACCGACUUUCAGGCCUAUAUACACAUACAAGUAGAAGUAUUGAACCUCAUUGAUUUUGGAAUUGAACGGUUGAACCCCGUGAAAUUAGAUUCAUAACAAUCGAAAUUUAUUAGUUUUGAUGCUCAUGCACAAUUAUGUUCUCUGAUAUGCCUUCUUGUUGGUUGUUCUUUGUUCUGUUCGUUACUAUCUUUUUUCAGAGGUGUCCUUUCGUUCCUCUCGCUCUCGGCUAACUCUCUCUCCGCAAUAUCAUUGACACCAAUCAGGAAGGUACUACUACCUAAUUUCUUCUUCAUUCUAAGAAAUACUCCAUCACCUUUUACAUAUCCCGCACCUAUCUUUUUGUUAAGGAUUAGCCCUUAAAAUUAAACGGAAAUAAACCUUAAUCCUGCUAGGUCUUCCAAAAAGGAGGAGUCUCAGAUAUGAUUGGUUCUAAAAACUGGAGACCUAAUUCAUAUUUGAUAAUCAAAAUAAAUUAUCAUUUGGUGAAGAAAUAAAGGUAUUUUGUUUGUUAUUGCUAGAAUAUCUCCUUCCUUACUAUUUGGUCUGCAAUCAUUUAACUGGACUAAUUGGGAAACGUCUUAAGGUAUUUUUUAUAAUUAACGUAUGGGGAAGAAGCCAUCAAAGGUAUUUUUGUUUCUAGUGUUUCAAGGAGUUCGAUUUGCAAGAAUAUUUUCUUUCAUUAUAUUAAUUGGUCUGUUAUCAUAGAUGAGAACAGUUAGAAUAUUGGUGUUUUUUUCUAGUGAAUGGUACGUGCCCUUACAUAGUUACAUGUAUGGUAAUUCCUGGUUCAUUUUUUUUUAUUCUUUUGGUUGAUGGCAUGGAUAAUGAUUAUUAGUAACUGGAAUUUUUCAGUAUAUCAUGUACUUUUUUUGUUUUUGUUUUUGUUUUGAUUAGUGAAAAAAGAAAAAAGAAAAGGACUGAACCCAAGUUUUUUGUGACCCUUGUCUACGCAUUAUCCACUACUGACAAUCAGAAGCCUAAUGAAGGCUGUUGUGUAUUCUUUUCCUGGUUUGCUCCUGGUUUUGUGCAAUGAGUAGUUCUGGACUCAGUAAUUGUCAGUUUUUUCUUGCCUAUUACCUCACCGAUUUGCACUUAACUUGGCACAAUUCAAUUCUCUUCUAUUGUGGACUUCACCAUGCUGCUGUUGGCAUCUUGCUACUAUCAAGGAUAGUGCCAUCUGGUGCUUCCCAACAGGAAGCCUUUAAAUUGUGUUUCUUAUGCUAAUAGUUUGGUCUCCGCUUUUUGAUAAUAUUACUGUGAUAAAACUUUGGUCUACAUAGUAACAUCAACUUGGUUUUGUGGUUCCUUGAUUGAUUACAUUUUCUUCUCUCUCUCCCUCUUUCAGUUUUUAAAUUUUUUGUGUGGUUGUCUACAGUACGUUGUUCCAUGGUUGACUUAAAAAAAAUUAGAGUAUUUAGUUGUCGAGGUUUGGAAAAAUUAAUGGCAUUGUGGGGCUUUGUUAUAGUGUAAUAAUUUUUCUCAGUUUGCAGGAUAUAUUUUUGUCUCAACAUCUUGACUAUAAGCCUUUUUAAUGGUUUAGGCAUUCUUACUCUUCUUUUUUAUUUCCUCAUUCACAUGUAUUUCUAACUAGAAAAUGUCAAACCCAACCAUUAACUUUGUACUUUUGUUUUGAAGGAAUUUUGGUUUGAAGGUUAUCCACAUCAAUAACAUUCUCCUUUGGUAGGGGUGUUCAAAUCCAGUGGAUACUCAAUUUGACGUGUUAUAUUUGUAAUUCCUUUUCUUUUUGUCAUUAAGCCCUUUUUUUGUGCGUCUUAUCUCCUUCUUUCUCUCUCAUUUUUUUCAGGGACUAGAAGUAGAGCCUGCAUAUUUGUAUGGGGGAAGUUAUCAACAUGGUGCAUUAAGCCCUUGGUGGUUUACUAUUUCUAACCUUGUUCACUUAUUUGACAUUGAGGUGCCUAAAUCUAUGGAUUAUUCUUUAAAUACUCGUUCCCGAUUAAUGUUGACAAGUAGACAUGGUAUUUGCUAUCGAGUUUUUGCUAGUUACUUGUUUUAUUUGUAGUUUUUGCUAGUUACCUGUUCUAUGUGGGCCCCUAGUGGAAUAAUUUUGUCUAGCAAUAGCAUAGUUGAUUUCUUAUCUGAAUUUUUAAGGUGCUUACGAUUGUAAUUAUUGUUUCAAUACUCUUCCCUUGCAUUAUGUUGACAUGGGGCAUUUGGUAACCUUCUCUAUUGGAGUAGGUGAGACUUUGAGUUAUUUUAUCUUUUUUUGGCAAUAAUUAUCUCGAGUUGUAUUCAUUGAUUAUUUAGCACAACUUGGUUUGUCCCUUGUCUUUCCGUUGUACACUUGACAAUCAGAAGUGUAAGCUGGACCUCUUGUUACGCAGGUUGUUGUUUAUUCUCUUCCUGGUUUGCUCCUGGUUUCAUGCAAUGGGUAGUUCUGGACUCAAUAAUUGUUAGUUUAUUCUUGUUACCUAACUGUUUUUCGCCUAACAUGGCACACUUGAUUCCUCUUCUAUUGUGGACUUCCUUGCAUCUUCCUACUGUCGAAGGGAGGCCUGUAAAUUGUGUAGGAUAGUUCUAUUCGGUACUUCGAAACAGGGAAGCCUAUAAAUUGUGUUUCUUAUGUUAAUUGUUUGUUCUUUAUUUGAUAAUAUUACUGUGAGAGAACUUAGGUCUACAUAGUACUCCCUCCGUCCCAUAGUUAUAGGCUGAUUUCUUUUGGCACAUAGUUUAAGAAAAUUAGUUAAGUGGCAGUUUUUAACAUAAAUUUUUCACAUAUACCCCUUAAUAUGGAAUUAAUCAAUAAGUUAAUUACUCCUUACUUAUCACACUGGAACUCUCAACUUCAUUGAUUGACGUGUACUGACCAUUAAAAUCCAUAACCAUAGAACUUUAACCAAAGAGAAAACAAUAACAUUAAAUGUGGUGAUAAAAAUAAUGACAUUGAAUGUUGUUUCUUCAAAAAAAGAGUAAUGGUUGAAUAUUUAUUAUAAGGGCAUAAAAGUAAAACAAUGAACCAACUAAAUUUUAUAAAUAGUAAGUAGCCUAUAUAUUGGGACAUCUCAAAAUGGAAAAUCAGCCUAUAACUAUGGGACAGAGGGAGUAUCAUUAACUGGUGUUCACAGUUCCUUAUUGAUUGCAUUUUUUUAAUCAUAUUUUUUAUUUUUGUGAUAUGUUUGUGGUCGUCUACAGUGCAUUGUUCCAAGGUUGACAUUGGGAAAAAACUAGAGUUUUUAUUUGCAAUGUUCGAAAAAGCUAAAAUCGCUAUGAGGCGUUUUUAUCUGGGCUAUGCGAGGCGUAAGCCUCGAGGUGGAGCGAGGCGGAAGCCUUGAUUCAAAGACCUAAAAGUCCCCAAAAAAUUAUGAAAAAAUAUUAAUAAAAUCAUAAAAUAAUUCAUCAUUACAAUUAAGGUUAUAGAAGACAUAAAUAACCAACGUCACAGUAAUGUAUCAUUACAAAACAUCAAAACAACAUAGUAUCAUCAAGUACUUAUAUAGUGAUCAUCCAUCACUAUGUAAGUAAUGUAUCAUUUGUAUCUAGCGGCUUGAAUAAAGGAUCAAAUCCUUAGAUCAUCAUCCCCAUCACCAUCAUCAUCAUCACUAUCAUCACUAAGAGGAUCCUCCAUGGAAUCAUCAUCGUAUCUAAUAGCUCUGUCAUCCUCCUCAUUGUCAGUGCUAAGAUCCUCAAAUUCAGGUUCUUCAUCAACCAAUUGCAAUCCCUUCCCUUUAUCUAUAAAUAAACAAGUGAAUAUAUAUUUAAUCCAAAUGAAUAUGUUUUUUUAAAGAACACCUUAAAGGCAACUUAAGUAAUGACACUAAUCUUUUGACAUAGUUUUUGACGGCAAAGUGUUUCUCUCUCUUUUGACUUCCUUGUUUACUACUUGUUCCCCGAGUCCCUUGCCCUCCAAGUGUAAUCUCUCCCACAUUAGUCUCUUCUCCCCCAACUGUCUUCUCAUUCCCAUGAAUCCUUUCACCCUCCUCCAUAUCAUCAUUCCCAGAAGUCAGUCUCGAGAUAUUUUCAUCGUUUCCCCCCGCAAUCCACUCAUUAUCAGAUGACACAUUUUCAACAACCAAUGGAUCAUCUUCUUCCGUUAGUGCCUUUUUCUUGAUAUGCCGAUCUUUCAAUUUUUUAUUAUACACAAUGUAAGCCAAUGAGUUAAGCCUGGAUGCGGACAGUCGGUUCCUUCUCUUUGUAUGUAUUUAUAUUACAAUUAAUUUAGCAAUUAGCAUUAGUGAAAAUGUCAGAUCUCAUAAAAUCUUAAUAAAUGAUUUAUAUCUAAUAAAUACCUGACUGAAAGUACUCCAAUUACGCUCACACCCCGAAGAUGAGCAAGUUAAACUCAGAAUCUUCACUGCAAAGUUUCUUAAUUCCGGAGUUUCAUCUGCGAUCCACCAAUCAGUUGGAUCAAUAUUAAAAUAUAUAUCAAUCUUACCGGUACACGUUUAAUCAAAGUGAAAGCAUAACCAGACAUUAAUCAACGGUACUUACCGGGAGCACGUUUCUUACACGUAUUUUUAGCAUUUGUGUAGCCAAAUAACCCUUGCCUCAAUCGGAAUGCAUCCAUUUGCAAAUCAGCUUUCUCUCUUUCCACAGCGUUAUGAAUAAAGCUUGUCCAUACAAGAGUACAAUCCCACUUUAACUUCCGCAUUUGCAUAGAAAUUGUCUUCAUAUUGAAAAUGAGGAUUCAAAUAAUAUGCAGCAGCGUGCAAAUGCCGAAUGCAGAUUCAAAUAAUAUGAGGAUUCAAAUAAUAUUAUUUUUGAGAAGUUAACAAUAAAAAGUAAUCCUUCGUACGUUGUUUUUGUUCUUCCUAUAGUCUCAUUCUACUCCCUUAUCCCAUAGUUUUUAUGUUCAGUGUUCCAAGGGAUAGUGGGUCUUUAGCGAAAUAAAUUUGUCUGGCAUAGUUAAAUUCUUUUCUGAAAUUUUAUGGUGCUUACCUAUUGUAUUCUUGUUUUAAUGGUCUUCCCAUCCUAUUAUGUUCACAUAUAGGGCAUUUGGUAACCUUUAUUGGAGGAGGCGAGGUUCUGACUUAUUUUAUUUUUUUUGUCCAAAAUUAUCUUCAAUUGUAUUCAUUGGUUAUUUAACAGCUUGUUUUGUGACCCUUGUCUUUCUGUUGUCCACUGACAUUCAGAAGCCUAAGCUGGACCUCUUAUUAUGAAGUCUGUUGUGUAUUCUCUUCCUUGUUUGCUCCUGGUUUCAUGCAAUGGGUAGUUCUGGACUCAAUAAUUGUCAGUUUUUUCUUAUUUGUUACCUAACCAGUUAUCGUCUAACAUGGCACAUUUGAAUCCUCUUCUAUUGUGGACUUACCCACCACUGCUGUUGCUACUAUCAAGGUAGUGCUAUCUUGUACUACCAAAUACGGAAGCAUGUAAAUUGUGUCUUAUGUUAAUAGUUUUGUUUUUUCUUUCUGAUAAUCUUACUGUGAGAGAAUUUUGGUCUACGUUGUAACAUCAACCGGUGUUUGCAGUUCCGUAAUUGAUUGCAUUUUCUUCUCUCUUUUUAUUUUCUUUUUUAAAAUUUUCUAAUAUGUUUGUGGUUGUCUACACUGCAUUGUUUCUAGGUAAAGAUAAUAUUACUGUGAGAGAUCUUGGGUCUACGUUUUAACAUCAACAGGUGUUUGCAGCUCCUUAAUUGAUUGCGUUUUCUU
RNAcentral lists this long non-coding RNA (5642 nucleotides) under Panax ginseng (ginseng). RNAcentral's name for it is "long non-coding RNA (PGIN_LNC003810)". The record is from RNAcentral. Lineage: Eukaryota; Viridiplantae; Streptophyta; Magnoliopsida; Apiales; Araliaceae.